GUGGGGAAUAUUGGACAAUGGGCGAAAGCCUGAUCCAGCCAUGCCGCGUGUGUGAAGAAGGUCUUCGGAUUGUAAAGCACUUUAAGUUGGGAGAAAGGGCAGUAAGUUAAUACCUUGCUGUUUUGACGUUACCAACAGAAUAAGCACCGGCUAACUUCGUGCCAGCAGCCGCGGUAAUACGAAGGGUGCAAGCGUUAAUCGGAAUUACUGGGCGUAAAGCGCGCGUAGGUGGUUCAGCAAGUUGAAGGUGAAAUCCCCGGGCUCAACCUGGGAACUGCCUCCAAAACUACUGAGCUAGAGUACGGUAGAGGGUAGUGGAAUUUCCUGUGUAGCGGUGAAAUGCGUAGAUAUAGGAAGGAACACCAGUGGCGAAGGCGACUACCUGGACUGAUACUGACACUGAGGUGCGAAAGCGUGGGGAGCAAACAGGAUUAGAAACCCUAGUAGUCC
RNAcentral lists this ribosomal RNA (450 nucleotides) under uncultured bacterium. RNAcentral's name for it is "partial 16S ribosomal RNA". It matches the Rfam family "Bacterial small subunit ribosomal RNA", at positions 354 to 796 of the family's 1533-position model. The record is from RNAcentral.